GAUGAACGCUAGCGGCAGGCUUAACACAUGCAAGUCGAGGGGCAGCACGGGUAGCAAUACCUGGUGGCGACCGGCGCAAGGGUGCGUAACGCGUGAGCAACAUGCCCUAUACAGGGGGAUAAUCCAGGGAAACUUGGUCUAAUAUCCCAUAGUAUUUAGAGGAGGCAUCUUCUAUAAAUUAAAGCUUCGGUGGUAUAGGAUUGGCUCGCGUGACAUUAGCUAGAUGGUGAGGUAACGGCUCACCAUGGCAAUGAUGUCUAGGGGUUCUGAGAGGAAGGCCCCCCACACUGGGACUGAGACACGGCCCAGACUCCUACGGGAGGCAGCAGUGAGGAAUAUUGGACAAUGGAUGGAAAUCUGAUCCAGCCAUGCCGCGUGCAGGAAGACAGCCCUAUGGGUUGUAAACUGCUUUUAUAUGGGAGCAAUAAGGUCUACGUGUAGACUGAUGAGAGUACCAUAUGAAUAAG
RNAcentral lists this ribosomal RNA (467 nucleotides) under uncultured bacterium. RNAcentral's name for it is "bacterial SSU rRNA". It matches the Rfam family "Bacterial small subunit ribosomal RNA", at positions 28 to 490 of the family's 1533-position model. The record is from RNAcentral.